RNAcentral lists this ribosomal RNA (426 nucleotides) under uncultured Pseudomonadaceae bacterium. Its description in RNAcentral is "bacterial SSU rRNA". It matches the Rfam family "Bacterial small subunit ribosomal RNA", at positions 356 to 774 of the family's 1533-position model. The record is from RNAcentral. Lineage: Bacteria; Pseudomonadati; Pseudomonadota; Gammaproteobacteria; Pseudomonadales; Pseudomonadaceae.
GGGGAAUAUUGGACAAUGGGCGAAAGCCUGAUCCAGCCAUGCCGCGUGUGUGAAGAAGGUCUUCGGAUUGUAAAGCACUUUAAGUUGGGAGGAAGGGUUUCUGGCUAAUAUCCAGGAAUUUUGACGUUACCGACAGAAUAAGCACCGGCUAACUUCGUGCCAGCAGCCGCGGUAAUACGAAGGGUGCAAGCGUUAAUCGGAAUUACUGGGCGUAAAGCGCGCGUAGGUGGUUCGUUAAGUUGGAUGUGAAAGCCCCGGGCUCAACCUGGGAACUGCAUCCAAAACUGGCGAGCUAGAGGUAGGGAGAGGGUGGGGGAAUUUCCUGUGUAGCCGUGAAAUGCGUAGAUAUAGGAAAGAAAACCAGGGGCGAAGGGGGCCACCUGGGCUAAUACUGACACUGGGGUGCGAAAGCGUGGGGAGCAAACA